This 112-nucleotide microRNA precursor is filed under the name Heliconius melpomene (postman butterfly). RNAcentral's name for it is "microRNA hme-mir-124 precursor". Its record names the gene hme-mir-124. The stretch from base 21 to 92 matches the Rfam family "mir-124 microRNA precursor family". Rfam says of the family: The mature ~21nt miRNAs are processed from hairpin precursor sequences represented here, in this case originating from the 3' arm. The record is from miRBase by way of RNAcentral. Lineage: Eukaryota; Metazoa; Arthropoda; Insecta; Lepidoptera; Nymphalidae.
GAGCAUUAAGAACACAGUCCACCUCCUCGCGUUCACUGCGCAGCCAUAUGUGUUCCUAUCCAUCAUAAGGCACGCGGUGAAUGCCAAGAGCGGGCUCAAGCGCCGAUUGCUC